This 497-nucleotide ribosomal RNA is filed under the name uncultured bacterium. Its description in RNAcentral is "partial 16S ribosomal RNA". It matches the Rfam family "Bacterial small subunit ribosomal RNA", at positions 28 to 507 of the family's 1533-position model. The record is from RNAcentral.
GAUGAACGCUGGCGGCGUGCCUAAUACAUGCAAGUCGAGCGAACAGACGAGGAGCUUGUUCUUUUGACGUUAGCGGCGGACGGGUGAGUAACACGUGGAUAACCUACUUAUAAUACUGGGAUAAUUUCGGGAAACCGGAGAUAAUACCGGAUAAUAUAUUGAACCGCAUGGUUCAAUAGUGAAAGACGGCUUUGCUGUCACUAAUAGAUGGUUCCGCGCCGCAUUAGCUAGUUGGUAAGGUAACGGCUUACCAAGGCGACGAUGCGUAGCCGACCUGAGAGGAUGAUCAGCCACACUGGAACUGAGACACGGUCCAGACUCCUACGGGAGGCAGCAGUAGGGAAUCUUCCGCAAUGGGCGAAAGCCUGACGGAGCAACGCCGCGUGAGUGAUGAAGGUCUUCGGAUCGUAAAACUCUGUUAUUAGGGAAGAACAAAUGUGUAAGUAACUAUGCACGUCUUGACGGUACCUAAUCAGAAAGCCACGGCUAACUACGUG